RNAcentral lists this long non-coding RNA (530 nucleotides) under Setaria viridis. RNAcentral describes it as "long non-coding RNA (SVIR_LNC004831)". Lineage: Eukaryota; Viridiplantae; Streptophyta; Magnoliopsida; Poales; Poaceae. The record is from RNAcentral.
CAAGCACAUCGCUGAAAUAUUUACAUUUGAUUUGGUCACCAAACUUGCUUGGCAACCUCUAAUGGAGUUUGUUGAUCAAUAAAAAAAAACGAAAACCUGAGAUGGGUGGAGGGCGUCAGCGGACGGCCGAGGCGACGGUGUGCGCCCACAUCCGGAGGUGCUCCUUGAGGUCGUUGCCGUUGCCGGGCGGCGGGAUCCGCCAGUUCCGCAGCGCCCUCCUGACCUCUUCCUCCUCGUCGUCCCAAGCCUCCGAGAGGUACGGCCUCCUCGGUGCCGGGGCGGCGGCGGUGGCUUCCUCCUCCCGCAGGGCGGAGGACGACGCGGCGGCCCGCGGCGCCGCGGGAGCCGACGCGGUGGCCCUGCUGUUCUCCUCCUCGGAGCGCUUUCGGCGCAGGCCCGGAACGAUGGACGCGAGCUCGGCGUCCACCUCGGCGUCGGAGAAGGUGAAGCCGAGGUCCUGCAAGCCCUUGACCUCCUCGAACUCGAGCUCCGACAUGCUCCGCCCGCGCCGCCGCCGCCGCCUCCCGGGC